This 254-nucleotide ribosomal RNA is filed under the name uncultured bacterium. RNAcentral's name for it is "partial 16S ribosomal RNA". It matches the Rfam family "Bacterial small subunit ribosomal RNA", at positions 524 to 776 of the family's 1533-position model. The record is from RNAcentral.
UACGGAGGGGGCUAGCGUUGUCGUGAAUCACUGGGCGUAAAGGUCGCGCGUGAGCGGGUCUUUAAGUCAGGGGUGAAAUCCGUGGAUCAACUCCAGAACUGCCUUUGAUACUGAAGAUCUUGAGUUCGGGAGAGGUGAGUGGAACUGCGAGUGUAGAGGUGAAAUUCGUAGAUAUUCGCAAGAACACCAGUGGCGAAGGCGGCUCACUGGCCCGAUACUGACGCUGAGGCACGAAAGCGUGGGGAGCAAACAGG